GAGCUGUGAGGAUGAGCACACUUGAUAACUUGAUAGCUUACGUGUAAAAGAGUCAGUUAGCUGAGUCAGCUACUUGGUUAACCAAUUGGUUUAGCGUGUAUAGAAUAUAAAACAGAUUUAGUUUACAUUGUAACCAAGUAUAAAUAAAGAGCUGUAAGCACGAUUGUGUGGUUGAGUUUUAUUCAAUAAAUUCCAGAUUCUUCUUCAUAACUUUUCUUCGUUUUCUCAUUGUUUUUCUUACUCUCCAAACACAUAAUUACAGAUUCUUUCAUGGUAUCAGAGCAAUCAAUGAUGAGCUCGAAUCAAACCUCUGGAUCUUAUAGUUUUGUUACUCCUGUGAAACUCGACCAGAAUAACUUCAUUGUUUGGAGAACUCAGAUUUUAACAACGAUUAAAGGUAACAGGUUGGAGAGCUUUAUCAAUGGUGAUCGAGCCUGUCCAGAGCAAUUUCUUCCAUCAGCUGUCACUGGAGCUAUUGAUUCAACAAGAUCAAAGGAUUGAGAAAUUAAUCCAGAGUUUUUAGCUUAGGUGAAGACUGAUCAGUUGAUUCUGAGUUGGAUGAUGUCAUCAAUUCAACAAAAUUUGCUGGCAACGGUGAUUCAUUGCUCUACUGCUAAAGAGCUUCUGGACACACUUACUAGUAUGUUUAUCUCACAAUCUCAGGCUAGAAUAAUGCCUCUUAAAAUGCAGAUUCAAACACUUAAAAAAGGCUCAAUGUCAAUGAUUGAUUAUUUUGCUAAAAUGAAAAGGUUAUCUGAUAGCUUAGCUCUGGCUGGAAAACCUGUUGAAUUGAAUGAUUUUGUUCAAUAUGUUUUGACUGGAUUGGAUUCCUCAGAUUAUGAGUCUCUUGUUACGAGCGUCUUAGCUAGAGGUGACAAGAUUAAUCUUGAUGAGUUUUACUCUUUACUGUUAAGUCAUGAGAAUAGAGUUGAGCAGAAGAGAGGCAAAAUUGCUAGUGAUGUUACUCAUAAUUUGUCAGCUAAUAUGGCAUAAAAACAGUUUAAUUCUGGAAAAAAUGCUGGUGGUAAUCCAAGAUAUAAUAAUAAUAUAACUUAUGGUGGAGGUGUCUAUGGAAAUUUUGCUAAUGGAAAUGGUAUGGGACAAUCUGGUGAUGGUAAUUCAACUAUCAUUUGUCAAAUCUGUUUUAUACCGGGUCAUGGAGCUCACAAGUGCAAGAAUAGGUACAAUUCUGCUUUUGUACCUUCAAGGAAUCAAGCAAGAGGAAAUUUUAAUGGCAAUUUUAGGGCUGGUCAAAGGAAUUUUGGAAGGGGAUUUGGAAAUUCAGGUGGCAGAUUUUUUAAUGGUGCUUAUGGCAGAGGGUUUAAUUCUCAAUUUGGCAAUGUCUUUACUAAACAUAAUGCUGGAAAUUUCAAUUUGCCAAGAGGUCCAGGAUAUCAAAGCUAUGUGAUGUGCUCAGAUCCAGCUGCUUUUUAUGUUACUCAACCUGGUAGCUCCACUAAUGCAAGUUCUUCUGCUUCUGGUUUUGGUUUUACUGGAGAUUACAGUGGCUGCUCUCCUUCCGCACCCACAGUUCCUACUCCUGAGAUGGUUGAAGAUCCCACCUGGUACAUUGACAGUGGUGCAACUAAUCAUAUCACCAAUGAUGCAGGUAAACUUCUUGAACCAAAAUCUUAUAGUGGAAGUGAAAAGUUGCUUGUUGGUAAUGGUUCUUCUCUGCAUAUUAAACAAGUUGGAUCAGUAUUGCUAGCCACAACUACAUCUGAAUCUUUGUUGCUAAGUCAUGUUCUUUAUGUUCCUCAAAUAACAAUUCCAGAUUCUUCUUCAUAACUUUUCUUCGUUUUCUCAUUGUUUUUCUUACUCUCCAAACACAUAAUUACAGAUUCUUUCAUGGUAUCAGAGCAAUCAAUGAUGAGCUCGAAUCAAACCUCUGGAUCUUAUAGUUUUGUUACUCCUGUGAAACUCGACCAGAAUAACUUCAUUGUUUGGAGAACUCAGAUUUUAACAACGAUUAAAGGUAAC
This 1980-nucleotide long non-coding RNA is filed under the name Citrus sinensis (sweet orange). RNAcentral's name for it is "long non-coding RNA (CSIN_LNC003568)". Lineage: Eukaryota; Viridiplantae; Streptophyta; Magnoliopsida; Sapindales; Rutaceae. The record is from RNAcentral.